UACCGAGGGGGCAAGCGUUGUUCGGAAUUACUGGGCGUAAAGGGCGCGUAGGCGGCCUUCUAAGUCGAACGUGAAAUCCCCGGGCUCAACCCGGGAACUGCGUCCGAUACUGGGAGGCUUGAAUCCGGGAGAGGGAUGCGGAAUUCCAGGUGUAGCGGUGAAAUGCGUAGAUAUCUGGAGGAACACCGGUGGCGAAGGCGGCAUCCUGGACCGGCAUUGACGCUGAGGCGCGAAAGCCAGGGGAGCAAACGGG
This 253-nucleotide ribosomal RNA is filed under the name uncultured bacterium. RNAcentral's name for it is "partial 16S ribosomal RNA". It matches the Rfam family "Bacterial small subunit ribosomal RNA", at positions 524 to 776 of the family's 1533-position model. The record is from RNAcentral.